UCCCUAACAGUUCAGUAGUUAGGACUCUGAGCUUCCAUUGCAGGAAACCCAGGUUCAAUCCCUGGUCAAGGAA
This is a non-coding RNA of Bos taurus (domestic cattle), 73 nucleotides long. Lineage: Eukaryota; Metazoa; Chordata; Mammalia; Artiodactyla; Bovidae. The record is from Rfam.